GAUGAAGAACGUAGCGAAAUGCGAUAAGUAAUGUGAAUUGCAGAAUUCAGUGAAUCAUCGAAUCUUUGAACGCACAUUGCGCCCGCCAGUAUUCUGGCGGGCAUGCCUGUUCGAGCGUCAUUACAACCCUCAGGCCCCCGGGCCUGGCGUUGGGGAUCGGCGGAGCCCCCCGUGGGCACACGCCGUCCCCCAAAUGCAGUGGCGGUCCCGCCGCAGCUUCCAUCGCGUAGUAGCUAACACCUCGCGACUGGAGAGCGGCGCGGCCACGCCGUAAAACACCCAACUCUUCUGAAGUUGACCUCGAAUCGGGUAGGAAUACCCGCUGAACUUAAGCAUAUCAAUAAGCGGAGGA
Molecule: unclassified non-coding RNA, 352 nt
Filed under: soil metagenome
Description: partial contains 5.8S ribosomal RNA, internal transcribed spacer 2, and large subunit ribosomal RNA
Rfam family: 5.8S ribosomal RNA (bases 1-120)
Source: RNAcentral